RNAcentral lists this ribosomal RNA (525 nucleotides) under Pythium indigoferae. RNAcentral describes it as "eukaryotic LSU rRNA". The stretch from base 219 to 369 matches the Rfam family "5.8S ribosomal RNA". Lineage: Eukaryota; Oomycota; Peronosporomycetes; Pythiales; Pythiaceae. The record is from RNAcentral.
ACACCCUUCCGUGAACCGUUUUGUUUUGCUUUCAGUGCUUUGUUGCGCUCGGAGCAUGUUUGGGCUUCGCUGCUGGCGCUUGAUUGUGCUGGCGGCUCGAGGCCAUCAAGCGGCGUUUUGAGUGUGCUUGCGCAAUUGAAACGUCCAAACCUUUUAAACCCAUUUGAUUGCAACUGAAGUAUACUGUGGGGACGAAAGUCCUCGCUUUGAAACUAAUCAACUUUCACAUGGAUGUCUAGGCUCGCACAUCGAUGAAGAACGCUGCGAACUGCGAUACGUAAUGCGAAUUGCAGGAUAGUGAGUCAUCGAACUUUUGAACGCAUAUUGCACUUUCGGGUUACGCCUGGAAGUAUGUCUGUAUCAGUGUCCGUACACUAAACUUGCGUCUCUUCCGCGUGAGUCGUCGGUUGUUUUGAUUGCAGAUGUGAGGUUGUCUCGCGAUCCGUUGCUUGUCGACAGGGUUGCGAGUCCCUUUAAAGUCGGACGCGUGUUUUUUUUCGUUUUGGCUCGAUGGGGUGCGGCUGC